ACAGGACACCAUUUGUUUUGUGAAAAACAAUAUAACAACACAAAUUAUGAGAUAUUUCCAUAUAAUACAUGGUAGAGGGAUGUGACAUUGUUUUAUAACAG
Long non-coding RNA from Sphaeramia orbicularis (orbiculate cardinalfish), 101 nucleotides. RefSeq lists it as uncharacterized. Lineage: Eukaryota; Metazoa; Chordata; Actinopteri; Kurtiformes; Apogonidae. The transcript is spliced from 3 exons. The record is from RefSeq and is a predicted model, not a curated record.